GCUCUGUGAUAGGGAAAUGUAGAGAAGGGAGCAGGCAGGUGGGCGAGGAGAGUAAUACUGUGAGUGUGAAACUUUUCUAAAUGAAAUUGUUACCAUGGGAACAACUUUAUAAAGUACCAUAAUGAACAUUUUCUUAUAAGAUUAAGUUUUCCACAGUCCUUUCACCCUAAUAGAUCAGCUGUAUUUUGCAUGUGUGUUUAAUUAUAGCUCAUGUAGGUGUAAUAAUAAUAGAUAUUUGCAUAUGUUGACUUUUACAGUUAAUGUUAUGUCCUAUUAUAUUUGUCUCAU
RNAcentral lists this long non-coding RNA (288 nucleotides) under Bos taurus (domestic cattle). Its description in RNAcentral is "long non-coding RNA NONBTAT016939". Lineage: Eukaryota; Metazoa; Chordata; Mammalia; Artiodactyla; Bovidae. The record is from RNAcentral.